GCCUAACACAUGCAAGUCGAACGUGAAGCCGACUUCGGUUGGUGGAAAGUGGCGAACGGGUGAGUAACACGUAGGAACCUGCCCGGAAGUGGGGGAUAACUCCGCGAAAGCGGGGCUAAUACCGCAUGUGGUCGAAAGAUUAAAGCUUCGGCGCUUCCGGAGGGGCCUGCGGCGGAUUAGCUAGUUGGUGGGGUAACGGCCUACCAAGGCGACGAUCCGUAGCUGGUCUGAGAGGAUGGUCAGCCACACUGGAACUGAGACACGGUCCAGACUCCUACGGGAGGCAGCAGCAAGGAAUUUUGCGCAAUGGGCGAAAGCCUGACGCAGCAACGCCGCGUGGGGGAAGAAGGCCUUCGGGUUGUAAACCCCUUUUGCGAGGGAAGAAGAUCUGACGGUACCUCGCGAAUAAGCCACGGCUAACUACGUGCCAGCAGCCGCGGUAAU
Molecule: ribosomal RNA, 444 nt
Filed under: uncultured bacterium
Lineage: Bacteria
Description: bacterial SSU rRNA
Rfam family: Bacterial small subunit ribosomal RNA
Source: RNAcentral